AAGAAGUCAGGCCACUACAAGUGCCACAGCUUGAGCAAACUGUGCAGCCUGUAGCUCCACCUGGGAAGGUGUAAAAAAUCUGGGAGGCCACAAACCAUGGAAGCUGUACGCAUGGCGUAGUGGACUAGCGGUUAGAGGAGACCCCUCCCUUGCAAGUCGCAGCAACAAUGGGGGCCCAAGGUGAGAUGAAGCUGUAAUCUCACUGGAAGGACUAGAGGUUAGAGGAGACCCCCCCGAAAUAAAAAACAGCAUAUUGACGCUGG
This 263-nucleotide long non-coding RNA is filed under the name dengue virus type 2. RNAcentral's name for it is "Dengue virus type 2 partial sfRNA2". The stretch from base 170 to 241 matches the Rfam family "Flavivirus DB element". Lineage: Riboviria; Orthornavirae; Kitrinoviricota; Flasuviricetes; Amarillovirales; Flaviviridae. The record is from RNAcentral.